GUGGCGAACGGGUGAGUAACACGUGGGCAAUCUGCCCUGCACUCUGGGACAAGCCCUGGAAACGGGGUCUAAUACCGGAUAUGACCAUCUUGGGCAUCCUUGAUGGUGUAAAGCUCCGGCGGUGCAGGAUGAGCCCGCGGCCUAUCAGCUUGUUGGUGAGGUAAUGGCUCACCAAGGCGACGACGGGUAGCCGGCCUGAGAGGGCGACCGGCCACACUGGGACUGAGACACGGCCCAGACUCCUACGGGAGGCAGCAGUGGGGAAUAUUGCACAAUGGGCGAAAGCCUGAUGCAGCGACGCCGCGUGAGGGAUGACGGCCUUCGGGUUGUAAACCUCUUUCAGCAGGGAAGAAGCGAAAGUGACGGUACCUGCAGAAGAAGCGCCGGCUAACUACGUGCCAGCAGCCGCGGUAAUACGUAGGGCGCAAGCGUUGUCCGGAAUUAUUGGGCGUAAAGAGCUCGUAGGCGGCUUGUCACGUCGGUUGUGAAAGCCCGGGGCUUAACCCCGGGUCUGCAGUCGAUAC
Molecule: ribosomal RNA, 524 nt
Filed under: Streptomyces sp. 645261
Lineage: Bacteria; Bacillati; Actinomycetota; Actinomycetes; Kitasatosporales; Streptomycetaceae
Description: bacterial SSU rRNA
Rfam family: Bacterial small subunit ribosomal RNA
Source: RNAcentral